AAUGAACGCUGGCGGCAUGCCUAACACAUGCAAGUCGAACGAGACCUUCGGGUCUAGUGGCGCACGGGUGCGUAACGCGUGGGAAUCUGCCCUUGGGUUCGGAAUAACUCGCCGAAAGGCGUGCUAAUACCGGAUGAUGACGUAAGUCCAAAGAUUUAUCGCCCAAGGAUGAGCCCGCGUAGGAUUAGCUAGUUGGUGGGGUAAAGGCCCACCAAGGCGACGAUCCUUAGCUGGUCUGAGAGGAUGUUCAGCCACACUGGGACUGAGACACGGCCCAGACUCCUACGGGAGGCAGCAGUGGGGAAUAUUGGACAAUGGGCGAAAGCCUGAUCCAGCAAUGCCGCGUGAGUGAUGAAGGCCUUAGGGUUGUAAAGCUCUUUUACCCGGGAUGAUAAUGACAGUACCGGGAGAAUAAGCCCCGGCUAACUCCGUGCCAGCCGCCGCGGUAA
RNAcentral lists this ribosomal RNA (449 nucleotides) under uncultured bacterium. RNAcentral describes it as "partial 16S ribosomal RNA". It matches the Rfam family "Bacterial small subunit ribosomal RNA", at positions 29 to 523 of the family's 1533-position model. The record is from RNAcentral.